RNAcentral lists this ribosomal RNA (550 nucleotides) under uncultured bacterium. RNAcentral's name for it is "bacterial SSU rRNA". It matches the Rfam family "Bacterial small subunit ribosomal RNA", at positions 355 to 896 of the family's 1533-position model. The record is from RNAcentral.
UGGGGAAUCUUCCGCAAUGGACGAAAGUCUGACGGAGCAACGCCGCGUGAACGAAGAAGGUCUUCGGAUUGUAAAGUUCUGUGAUUCGGGACGAAAGGGUUUGUGGUGAAUAAUCAUAGACAUUGACGGUACCGAAAAAGCAAGCCACGGCUAACUACGUGCCAGCAGCCGCGGUAAUACGUAGGUGGCAAGCGUUGUCCGGAAUUAUUGGGCGUAAAGCGCGCGCAGGCGGUUUCUUAAGUCCAUCUUAAAAGCGUGGGGCUCAACCCCAUGAGGGGAUGGAAACUGGGAAGCUGGAGUAUCGGAGAGGAAAGUGGAAUUCCUAGUGUAGCGGUGAAAUGCGUAGAGAUUAGGAAGAACACCGGUGGCGAAGGCGACUUUCUAGACGAAAACUGACGCUGAGGCGCGAAAGCGUGGGGAGCAAACAGGAUUAGAUACCCUGGUAGUCCACGCCGUAAACGAUGGAUACUAGGUGUAGGAGGUAUCGACCCCUCCUGUGCCGGAGUUAACGCAAUAAGUAUCCCGCCUGGGAAGUACGAUCGCAAGAUUA